CUACAAGCAGUGUGUUUUCUCAUGGUUGUAUCUGAACACUUUGAAGGUAAAUAAAUGGAAAAGUGUCUGUAUUCCCUUGAGAGAACAUGCUGUUAGUGCUACCAUC
Gallus gallus (chicken) is the source of this 106-nucleotide microRNA precursor. The record is from Ensembl. Lineage: Eukaryota; Metazoa; Chordata; Aves; Galliformes; Phasianidae.